RNAcentral lists this ribosomal RNA (539 nucleotides) under uncultured bacterium. RNAcentral describes it as "bacterial SSU rRNA". It matches the Rfam family "Bacterial small subunit ribosomal RNA", at positions 355 to 911 of the family's 1533-position model. The record is from RNAcentral.
UGGGGAAUCUUGGACAAUGGGGGCAACCCUGAUCCAGCCAUGCCGCGUGAGUGAUGAAGGCCUUAGGGUCGUAAAGCUCUUUCGCCUGUGAAGAUAAUGACGGUAGCAGGUAAAGAAACCCCGGCUAACUCCGUGCCAGCAGCCGCGGUAAUACGGAGGGGGCGAGCGUUAUUCGGAAUUAUUGGGCGUAAAGGGCGCGUAGGCGGACCAGAAAGUUGGGGGUGAAAUCCCGGGGCUCAACCCCGGAACUGCCUCCAAACUAUUGGUCUAGAGUUCGAGAGAGGUGAGUGGAAUUCCAAGUGUAGAGGUGAAAUUCGUAGAUAUUUGGAGGAACACCAGUGGCGAAGGCGGCUCACUGGCUCGAUACUGACGCUGAGGUGCGAAAGUGUGGGGAGCAAACAGGAUUAGAUACCCUGGUAGUCCACACCGUAAAACGAUGAAUGCCAGUCGUCGGGUAGCAUGCUAUUCGGUGACACACCUAACGGAUUAAGCAUUCCGCCUGGGGAGUACGGUCGCAAGAUUAAAACUCAAAAUGAAUU